UACAGAGGUCUCAACCGUUGUUCGGAUUCAUUGGGCGUAAAGGGUGCGUAGGCGGUCGGGUAAGUCUGACGUGAAAUCUUCAAGCUCAACUUGGAAACUGCGUCCGAUACUAUUCGGCUAGAGGAAUGGAGGGGAGACUGGAAUACUUGGUGUAGCAGUGAAAUGCGUAGAUAUCAAGUGGAACACCAGUGGCGAAGGCGAGUCUCUGGACAUUUCCUGACGCUGAGGCACGAAAGCCAGGGGAGCAAACGGG
This 253-nucleotide ribosomal RNA is filed under the name uncultured bacterium. RNAcentral's name for it is "partial 16S ribosomal RNA". It matches the Rfam family "Bacterial small subunit ribosomal RNA", at positions 524 to 776 of the family's 1533-position model. The record is from RNAcentral.